CGGGUGGUAAUGCCGGAUGCUCCGGUUGGAUGCAUGUCCUUCCGGGAAAGAUUCUAUCGGUAUGGGAUGGGGUCGCGUCCUAUCAGCUUGAUGGCGGGGUAACGGCCCACCAUGGCUUCGACGGGUAGCCGGCCUGAGAGGGCGACCGGCCACAUUGGGACUGAGAUACGGCCCAGACUCCUACGGGAGGCAGCAGUGGGGAAUAUUGCACAAUGGGCGCAAGCCUGAUGCAGCGACGCCGCGUGCGGGAUGGAGGCCUUCGGGUUGUAAACCGCUUUUGAUCGGGAGCAAGCCCUUCGGGGUGAGUGUACCUUUCGAAUAAGCACCGGCUAACUACGUGCCAGCAGCCGCGGUAAUACGUAGGGUGCAAGCGUUAUCCGGAAUUAUUGGGCGUAAAGGGCUCGUAGGCGGUUCGUCGCGUCCGGUGUGAAAGCCCAUCGCUUAACGGUGGGUCUGCGCCGGGUACGGGCGGGCUGGAGUGCGGUAGGGGAGACUGGAAUUCCCGGUGUAACGGUGGAAUGUGUAGAUAUCGG
RNAcentral lists this ribosomal RNA (533 nucleotides) under Bifidobacterium dentium. Its description in RNAcentral is "bacterial SSU rRNA". It matches the Rfam family "Bacterial small subunit ribosomal RNA", at positions 157 to 700 of the family's 1533-position model. Lineage: Bacteria; Bacillati; Actinomycetota; Actinomycetes; Bifidobacteriales; Bifidobacteriaceae. The record is from RNAcentral.